GAAUAUUGGACAAUGGGCGAAAGCCUGAUCCAGCCAUGCCGCGUGUGUGAAGAAGGUCUUCGGAUUGUAAAGCACUUUAAGUUGGGAGGAAGGGUUGUAACCUAAUACGUUGCAACUUUGACGUUACCGACAGAAUAAGCCCCGGCUAACUCCGUGCCAGCCGCCGCGGUAAUACGAAGGGUGCAAGCGUUAAUCGGAAUUACUGGGCGUAAAGCGCUCGUAGGUGGUUUGUUAAGUUGGAUGUGAAAUCCCCGGGCUCAACCUGGGAACUGCAUUCAAAACUGACAAGCCAGAGUAUGGUAGAGGGUGGUGGAAUUUCCUGUGUAGCGGUGAAAUGCGUAGAUAUAGGAAGGAACACCAGUGGCGAAGGCGACCACCUGGACUGAUACUGACACUGAGGUGCGAAAGCGUGGGGAGCAAACAGG
This 425-nucleotide ribosomal RNA is filed under the name uncultured bacterium. RNAcentral describes it as "bacterial SSU rRNA". It matches the Rfam family "Bacterial small subunit ribosomal RNA", at positions 359 to 776 of the family's 1533-position model. The record is from RNAcentral.